This 108-nucleotide non-coding RNA is filed under the name Terribacillus aidingensis. Its description in RNAcentral is "SAM-I sequence". It matches the Rfam family "SAM riboswitch aptamer (S box leader)". From Rfam's summary of the family: The SAM riboswitch is found upstream of a number of genes which code for proteins involved in methionine or cysteine biosynthesis in Gram-positive bacteria. The SAM riboswitch acts at the level of transcription termination control. The record is from Rfam by way of RNAcentral. Lineage: Bacteria; Bacillati; Bacillota; Bacilli; Caryophanales; Bacillaceae.
UUCUUAUCAAGAGCGGCGGAGGAACAGGUCCUAUGAAGCCCGGCAACCAGAUCGAUGAUCUAGGUGCUAAUUCCUGCAGACGGCGAAAGCUGUACUGAGAGAUAAGAG